AUCUUCAUAGCACUCCCAAAAGCACCACCGAGAACUUGUCCCACCCACCUGCUCCAUGCACGCCAAUCCAAGAAAUGAGGUAGUAAAACCACCAUAAGCAAGUUGCCCACUCCAGCUUUCAAGUAUGCAGUAAGCUCAUUUUGAAAGCAAGGACAAUCCGAUUGAUACUCUAUAACUUUAGAAUGGACAGAUGCAGAACUUGGUGAUAUUAUAAACACAUUAAAAGAGAACAUUGCAAUGGCAAAAUCAAGCUCUCAAAUAUCAAAGUUUAGACUGUCGUCAGAGUUAGGUUGUCUGUGCAACCUGGAUUGUUCCCUCCGGAGUUAAUGUGUCAUUUAAAAAGGCUAGAGGUCAAAAUGAGUUACAGGAAGGGAUAUAAAAGGUGGCUUCUGGGGUAGAGGCAUGCUCAGUGGGAACUGAUGCCUGGUGUAUGCUUUUCAGCUGUGCUUCUGGAGCACCACAGAAGCAGUGUAGAUAGAUCUACCCAAAGUAAGCUGACAACUUCUAAACUGUACAAAAAUAAACUGUAUAAAUUGACCUUCACUGGUGAAUAUCAGAAUGACUAACAAACAUAAGCCUUUAUACACCGUGGGUGUGUGUCUGGGAGAGGACUCUUGCACAAGGAACAGAAGCAAACAAGUGGUGCUCUUUUAAGAUGUCUGUGGCAGUGAGACCCGGUGUUUUAACCUCAUUUCCAUUCACAAGUUGAUGAUUGACUGACCUUGAGAUCAAAUGCCUGUUUCUAUAUUCAGCCACAAUAAAGACUUUCUUAGA
Molecule: long non-coding RNA, 774 nt
Organism: Alligator mississippiensis (American alligator)
Lineage: Eukaryota; Metazoa; Chordata; Crocodylia; Alligatoridae
Exons: 2
Source: RefSeq, a predicted model, not a curated record